RNAcentral lists this unclassified non-coding RNA (343 nucleotides) under uncultured fungus. Its description in RNAcentral is "sequence contains ITS1". Lineage: Eukaryota; Fungi. The record is from RNAcentral.
AAUCCGAGAAUUUCACCUCUGACAAUUAAAUACGAAUGCCCCCAACUGUCCCUCUUAAUCAUUACUUCGGCCCUGGAAACCAACAAAAUAGGACCGAGGUCCUCUUCCAUUAUUCCAUGCUAACGUAUUCAGGCGACGGCCUGCCUUGAACACUCUAAUUUGUUCAAAGUAAACGUCCCGAACUCCCCGACCACUGCAGUAAAGAGCAGUCGGGGCCUUCGAGAGGAAGGGCGCCCGACCAGUACUCGCCUCGCGGCGGACCAGCCGGGCCGCCCCGAAAUCCAACUACGAGCUUUUUAACUGCAACAACUUUAAUAUACGCUAUUGGAGCUGGAAUUACCGC